This 500-nucleotide ribosomal RNA is filed under the name uncultured bacterium. RNAcentral describes it as "partial 16S ribosomal RNA". It matches the Rfam family "Bacterial small subunit ribosomal RNA", at positions 30 to 523 of the family's 1533-position model. The record is from RNAcentral.
AUUGAACGCUGGCGGCAUGCUUUACACAUGCAAGUCGAACGGUAACAGGGUGCUUGCACCGCUGACGAGUGGCGAACGGGUGAGUAAUGCGUCGGAACGUGCCGAGUAGUGGGGGAUAACGCAGCGAAAGUUGUGCUAAUACCGCAUACGUACUGAGGUAGAAAGUGGGGGACCUUCGGGCCUCACGCUAUUCGAGCGGCCGACGUCUGAUUAGCUAGUAGGUGAGGUAAAGGCUCACCUAGGCGACGAUCAGUAGCGGGUCUGAGAGGAUGAUCGGCCACACUGGGACUGAGACACGGCCCAGAAUCCUACGGGAGGAAGAAGUGGGGGAUUUUGGACAAUGGGCGAAAGCCUGAUCCAGCCAUGCCGCGUGUCUGAAGAAGGCGUUCGGGUUGUAAAGGACUUUUGUCAGGGAGGAAAUCCGUAGUGCUAAUAACACUGGGGGAUGACAGUACCUGAAGAAUAAGCACCGGCUAACUACGUGCCAGCCGCCGCCGUAA